Molecule: ribosomal RNA, 492 nt
Filed under: uncultured bacterium
Lineage: Bacteria
Description: partial 16S ribosomal RNA
Rfam family: Bacterial small subunit ribosomal RNA
Source: RNAcentral
AGUGAACGCUGGCGGUAGGCCUAACACAUGCAAGUCGAACGGCAGCACAGUAAGAGCUUGCUCUUACGGGUGGCGAGUGGUGGACGGGUGAGGAAUACAUCGGAAUUUACUUUUUCGUGGGGGAGAACGUAGGGAAACUUACGCUGAUACCGCAUACGACCUACGGGUGAAAGCAGGGGGUGUUCGGACCUUGCGCGAUUGAAGGAGCCGAUGUCGGAUUAGCUAGUUGUCGGGUUAAAGGCCCACCAAGGCGACGAUCCGUAGCUGGAGUGAGAGGCUGAUCACCCACCCUGGAACUGAGACAGGGACAAGACUACUACGGGACGCAGCAGUGGGGAAUAUUGGACAAUGGGCGCAAGCCUGGUCCAGCCGUACCGCGUGGGUGAAGAAGGCCUUCGGGUUGUAAAGCCCUUUUGUUGGGAAAGAAAAGCAGCAGGUUAAUACCCAGCUGUUCUGACGGUACCCAAAGAAUAAGCACCGGCUAACUUCGUG